UGAGUUUUUUAGUUCAUCGAUGAUAGAAAUAUAUGUCAAUUCAAAGUAAUUUUAGUUUUUACAUUUCAGAUAGAAAUUACGCACUUCAUCUUUCCUGCCAAUUCGAGAUUCUAGCGGCGAGGCGCUUCAAUGGCCGGCUAAUAACUUCGCCAUUUUGCGACAAUUUAUGAUGAGUACAUUUUUCUUGUACUGUCCAAAUGUGUUUUAAAAUACACUCGAAAUUUUAAAAAGCAUCGUUACUUAUCUCCCAUUGGAAAAAAUAACCAACAAUCAACGUUUCGCUUAAAAAUUAUGCUAUGCUGCUAUUUCUGCACAAUUUCGAGGUGUAACCCGAGGUGGUUGGAGAUAGUUAAACGUGGUUAGUGGUGGUCAGGGUGAACGAGAGGGAGGACGAGGAAGACGAGGAGAACAAGGGAGACAAGGAGGACGAGGAUUUCUGCUCGGCAUAACCCGAGGUGAUUAUCGGUGGUUGUUGGAGGUGGUUGGCGGUGGUUAAAGGUGGUCGGAGGUGGACGAGGAGGAGGACGAGGAAGACGAGGA
This is a long non-coding RNA of Neodiprion virginianus, 540 nucleotides long. RefSeq lists it as uncharacterized. The transcript is spliced from 4 exons. The record is from RefSeq and is a predicted model, not a curated record. NCBI's taxonomy places the organism in Eukaryota, Metazoa, Arthropoda, Insecta, Hymenoptera, Diprionidae.